RNAcentral lists this ribosomal RNA (253 nucleotides) under uncultured prokaryote. RNAcentral's name for it is "partial 16S ribosomal RNA". It matches the Rfam family "Bacterial small subunit ribosomal RNA", at positions 525 to 777 of the family's 1533-position model. The record is from RNAcentral.
ACGUAGGGGGCUAGCGUUGUCCGGAAUCAUUGGGCGUAAAGCGCGUGUAGGCGGCCAGAUAAGUCCGGUGUGAAAGUCAAAGGCUCAACCUUUGAAUGCCGCUGGAAACUGUCUGGCUAGAGUCCGGAAGGGGCGAGUGGAACUCCUGGUGUAGCGGUGAAAUGCGCAGAUAUCAGGAAGAACACCUAUGGCGAAGGCAGCUCGCUGGGACGGUACUGACGCUGAGACGCGAAAGCGUGGGGAGCAAACAGGA